UGAGGAUGAUGUCCAGGAUGUUGGUC
Molecule: non-coding RNA, 26 nt
Filed under: Homo sapiens (human)
Lineage: Eukaryota; Metazoa; Chordata; Mammalia; Primates; Hominidae
Source: RNAcentral